GCCUGUACGACUCCUCACAGCUAACCAAGGCAGUGUGUGUUUGAAAUUGAGGAGAUAAUAAAAGGAAGGAUCAUAUGAAUGCUCCAUGGAAAAUUACAAUCAAACAUCAACUGCUUUCAUCUUGUUGGGAUUGUCGCCACCACCAAAAAUUGGCCAUUUCAUCUUCAUUCUCAUUAAUUUCGUUUUCCUAAUGGCUCUAAUUGGAAACCUAUCCAUGAUUCUUCUCAUCUUCUUGGACAUCCAUCUCCACACACCCAUGUAUUUCCUACUUAGUCAGCUCUCCCUCAUUGACCUAAAUUAUAUUUCCACCAUUGUUCCUAAGAUGGUUUAUGAUUUUUCUGUAUGGAAACAAGUCUAUCUCCUUCACUGGGUGUGGGAUUCAGAGUUUCUUCUUCCUGACUUUAGCAGGUGCAGAAGCGCUGCUCCUGACAUCAAUGGCCUAUGAUCGUUAUGUGGCUAUUUGCUUUCCUCUCCACUAUCCCAUCCGUAUGAGAAAAAGAGUGUGUGCACUGAUGAUAACAGGAUCUUGGAUGAUAGGCUCCAUCAACUCUUGUGCUCACACGGUAUAUGCACUCCGUAUCCCAUAUUGCAAGUCCAGAGCCAUCAAUCAUUUUUUCUGUGAUGUUCCAGCUAUGUUGACCCUAGCCUGCACGGAUACCUGGGUCUAUGAGUGCACGGUGUUUUUGAGCACCACCAUUUUUCUUGUGUUUCCCUUCAUUUGUAUUGCAUGUUCCUAUGGCCGGAUUCUCCUUGCUGUCUACCACAUGCACUCUGCAGAAGGGAGGAAGAAGGCCUAUUCGACCUGCAGCACCCACCUCACUGUAGUGACUUUCUACUAUGCACCCUUUGCUUAUACCUAUCUACGCCCAAGAUCCCUGCGAUCUCCGACAGAGGACAAGGUUCUGGCUGUCUUCUACACCAUCCUCACUCCAAUGCUCAACCCCAUCAUCUACAGCCUGAGAAACAAGGAGGUGAUGGGGGCCCUGACACGAGUGAUUCAGAAAAUCUUUUCAGUGAAAAUAU
Molecule: long non-coding RNA, 1023 nt
Organism: Homo sapiens (human)
Lineage: Eukaryota; Metazoa; Chordata; Mammalia; Primates; Hominidae
Source: Ensembl